GUAGGUUAUUUUUUUUUUUCUCACCCACAUGUGUAUCUGCUAUCCAUUAAGUAAUUGAAUUUCAACCGUCAUUUCAGAAAUUUAUAAUUUUUUCUGGGUAAUCUCAAAGUUUCAAUUUUUUGUUUCCACCAUUGAGUUAUAGCUGGGUUGAUUGAUCUAUUGUUAUCUCACUAUGUCGGUACCUGGUACCAUUGAUUCAAACUCAAAUUCAAGUUUGUUUCUUUCUCUGCCUGAUGAUGUGUUUGCCAUGGUGUCACGCUUCCUCUUGCCCAGAGAUGUGUGUAAUCUCAGCUUAUGCUGCAGGAGCCUCUAUGCUCUUGCAGCCUGUGAGAAAGUGUGGCUUACACAGUGUGACAGGAUGGGGAUAGUUCCCCAUAAAGACCUUGUUGACUGGAGAACCGGUGUCUCAUCAUACAAGGCGAUUUGCCGUUUUCUUCUCAAUAUUAAACCCUUGAUUGGGAUAUGGGUUCAUCAGAAUCCUGAGCUUGGGAACCUUGUCUAUGUCAUGCCUGGUUUCGUAUCGGUUGUUGGGUGUAGGAUAAUCCCUCAGGAGCUUGGUCCAAUGGGGAUUCAUGAUGGUCCAAUCCUAUGGGCUCCUGUGUUUGAAAUUAUUGGUGAUUUUGAUGGUUCACCAACAUUUUUUCUUCAUGGGAGGGAGAAGGGGUUGGACUAUAUUUGUCAUGGAUCAUUCAAGUCCAUAAACAAAUCUUGCAAUGUACUAUUGCUUGAGGUUGAACCAAGGGAAAAAUGUAUAAGAAAUAAGGAAAAUUCUAGGUUACAAGGAGUGGUUGGAAGUAAUAAUAAGGCAAUGGUUCCCUUCGGCAGGUUGUCUCUAAGUGAUAGGAAAAAGUUGCUUGAGUUCACUACUAGGCAUGUUCGGCAAGAGGUUCCUCAUAUGGCAAUGGGACCCUUGUUUCCAAGGUUAAGGGAUUGCUAUGAGAAUUUCCAGAAAGAAUUGGUGCUGUUGAGGGGAAGAAGGGCACUCCUUAGUCAAAUGUACAGGCUCGAUCAUAGUCAAGUUGAUAACAUAGAAAAUUCUGAGGAGGCUGUUGGUCCUAAGCAAUUAGAACAAGAUGACAGAAGAAAGAGUAUCGAGUGUUCAAGGGCUUUAACUAUUCUUCUGGAUGGGGAGGGCAGUGAUGCACAAUAUAACAAGAGAAAAAAUGGUGUAAAAUUCUGGGGUAGCCUUAAACAGAUGCUAGGAGGGUCUAGCUCAAACAACAGCCAUCAUGAGAAGAAGCAUGUGCGGCUUGAAGAGUUUCUUGGAUCAAAUGAUACAAUAAUGCUGACAUUAAAGGCCUCAACUGUAAAAUUAUCUGCUUAUCGAGCAUGGCCAAAUAUGCCUGAGAGUUGGUUUGCACUUUACAAGAUGCCAUUGCAAGAUCCAACGGAGGACCAAGUUUAUGCCGGUUUAUGGGGAGGAACUUUUGGUUGGCCUCCUGGAAAACCUUCCGAAGACAAGCCUGGAAAGGCUUUAUUCUUUCUUCUGCUCUCUUAUGAGGAGUCUCAUGGACAACAGCUUCUCAUUGCAACCAAAAUAUUGGAAGGCACACAUUAUGUGUUACAUCCAAAUGGUUCAGCAAUGUUUAUAGUGAAUAUCAACGAGCCUUCAUCUGAACCAUUUCCUUGGAACUCUGAUGCUGACUCCUAUCCGAUUAAUAUCAAGCAUUCUUUCACGGGUGAGGGUAUUGCAAAUGGUUACGGAUUCAGAUACCCUGGAUCAAAGCCUGGUUCCCUCUUUGAAUUUCAAGACGGUGUCCUUGCCUUCAUUUGGAAGGACUCGAGGUCUGUUUUGACGUUGCAGAGACUUAACUUGCAACAGCUUUUGAAGAAGGGAGAAAGGGUGCAUUGUCUGCCUCCCAUCACAAAUUUUUCAUGCUUGACAAAAUCCUACUCAAAUGUGUUUACUGGAUUUCCUGAUGCUUACACAAGUUCAUCGUCACCAAGCACUUCUGAAAAGAAAAGCUCGUAUUCAUGAUUUGCUGAAGAAAAGUUUAAAAGGGCCGUCUCAACUAGAAGCGAGGCUUCUUUCUAUAAUCAGUAGAAACACAACUAGUAUAUUAGUGGGUUGGGGACUACAUGCUUUUUACGCGCCCCUGGCCGGUUUCCAAUACUCAACAAGACCUGUUAUUUGUCGAAUAACACACCUGCUAGUUCCUGCUGCUGUGUUUCAUGUUGCUGCAUUCCGAAUAUCAUAGAUGGUAGUCUUUGCCUUAUAAGUGCUAUGAAUUAGCUUCGCAUUGAAGUAUAUAGAUAUACUAUACCAGGCUGUUUAUACAGAUGGUUAAAACCAUUUAUUAAGGAUUCAAAUGAAAGUACAUCUCAUAUAAAAUGAAGGCAUGGUAAAUGCCUUGUAUGACUACAUUGAUCAUAGUUUAUAAAGUCAAUAGUUGUGGCCUCCGAAUUAAUACGGUUGCCAGAAAUUUACCUAGUUAUGGGAAGAAUAGUGAUCUUCAAAUUUAAUGAUCCAAUAAUAACUAAGUCUAUUUUUUUCUUAAUUUCAUAAAAA
RNA transcript from Arachis duranensis, 2509 nucleotides. It is a transcript of the gene named F-box protein At5g39450-like, with no coding region annotated. NCBI's taxonomy places the organism in Eukaryota, Viridiplantae, Streptophyta, Magnoliopsida, Fabales, Fabaceae. The transcript has 3 exons. The record is from RefSeq and is a predicted model, not a curated record.